RNAcentral lists this small RNA (122 nucleotides) under Marmota monax (woodchuck). The record is from RNAcentral. Lineage: Eukaryota; Metazoa; Chordata; Mammalia; Rodentia; Sciuridae.
GCCAGGCACCAUGGCAUAUGCCUGUAAUCCCAGCGGCUCAGGAGGCUGAGACAGGAGGAUUGCAAGUUCAAAGUCAGCCUCAAAAGAGAGAUGCUAAGCAACUCAAUGAGAUCCUGUCUCUA